This 378-nucleotide ribosomal RNA is filed under the name uncultured organism. Its description in RNAcentral is "partial 16S ribosomal RNA". It matches the Rfam family "Bacterial small subunit ribosomal RNA", at positions 527 to 896 of the family's 1533-position model. The record is from RNAcentral.
GUAGGUGGCAAGCGUUGUCCGGAAUUAUUGGGCGUAAAGCGCGCGCAGGCGGUUCUUUAAGUCUGAUGUGAAAGCCCACGGCUCAACCGUGGAGGGUCAUUGGAAACUGGAGAACUUGAGUACAGAAGAGGAAAGCGGAAUUCCACGUGUAGCGGUGAAAUGCGUAGAGAUGUGGAGGAACACCAGUGGCGAAGGCAGCUUUCUGGUCUGUAACUGACGCUGAGGCGCGAAAGCGUGGGGGGAGCAAACAGGAUUAGAUACCCUGGUAGUCCACGCCGUAAACGAUGAGUGCUAAGUGUUAGGGGGUUUCCGCCCCCCCCUUAGUGCUGCAGCUAACGCAUUAAGCACUCCCGCCUGGGGAGUACGGCCGCAAGGCUG